This 446-nucleotide ribosomal RNA is filed under the name uncultured bacterium. RNAcentral describes it as "partial 16S ribosomal RNA". It matches the Rfam family "Bacterial small subunit ribosomal RNA", at positions 338 to 795 of the family's 1533-position model. The record is from RNAcentral.
CCUACGGGAGGCAGCAGUCGAGAAUUAUUCACAAUGGGGGAAACCCUGAUGGUGCGACGCCGCGUGGGGGAAUGAAGGUCUUCGGAUUGUAAACCCCUGUCAUGUGGGAGCAAAUUAAAAAGAUCGUACCACACUAGGAAGCGACGGCUAACUCUGUGCCAGCAGCCGCGGUAAUCCAGAGGUCUCACGCGUUGUUCGGCAUCACUGGGCGUAAAGCGUGCGUAGGCUGUUUCGUAAGUCGUGUGUGAAAGGCGCGGGCUCAACCCGCGGACGGCACAUGAUACUGCGAGACUAGUGGAAUGGAGGGGGAACCGGAAGUCUCGGUGUAGCAGUGAAAUGCGUAGAUAUCGAGAGGAACACUCGUGGCGAAGGCGGGUUCCUGGACAUUAACUGACGCUGAGGCACGAAGGCCAGGGGAGCGAAAGGGAUUAGAUACCCCAGUAGUC